GUCUCAGUGGCGCAAUGGUAGCGCGUUGGACUUCUACUGCACAUUCUCAUCUGAAUCCAAAGGCUGCGGGUUCGAGCCCCGCCUGAGAUG
Stagonospora sp. is the source of this 90-nucleotide transfer RNA. It matches the Rfam family "tRNA". Rfam says of the family: Transfer RNA (tRNA) molecules are approximately 80 nucleotides in length. Their secondary structure includes four short double-helical elements and three loops (D, anti-codon, and T loops). The record is from Rfam. NCBI's taxonomy places the organism in Eukaryota, Fungi, Ascomycota, Dothideomycetes, Pleosporales, Massarinaceae.